AGACAGGGUCUCUCACCAAAGCUGGAGCUUGCCAGACUGGUUGUCCAGCAAACCUGUCUUCACUUCCCUAGUGCUGGAGCACAGUAGGAUCCUGUGUGUGCCGCGUCGUUCCUGCUGGCGAGACGUAGCGCGGGACAUCUGGUGCCGAAAACCCGGGAAAGACCUCGCCAUCGUCAGCACCUUCGGAGAUCCCUUGGCGACAAGGAGGAUUCAGAACUGCAGGCAGGACAAUGAAAAUCCCAUAUGGAUCCCAGGACGACUUACUCGGAGCAUCACAGCAAGUGAUCAAGAAGGGACUGGGACUCCUGCACCUCACUCUUCUUCCAUGGAUGCCAGCAACAGUGCAGGGCAAGCUACGAUGGGGAAUAAUGUCAACCUUUCCACUCCCGAUGCCGGUGAUGUACCACUAACAGGGAUUUAGGGUUGGCCUAUUUACCUGAGGAUCCACAGGUUGAAUUUACCUGAGGAUCCACAGGUUGAACGACUAAAAGAAAAUAGGACUAUUCCCCUUAAGGGCAGCCUUUGUUUUGGCAUAUUCAACAAAACAUCUUUUGAUCUCCCUUGCAUUAUGUUAUGUAAUCAAUCUUCUGCUUGGUUAAGGGAGGCCACAUGGGGAACUGGUGAGGAGGACAUUGUGGCUAACGCCACAGUUCUCUAUGGUGGUGGCCUUACAUUGCGUUAAUGGUAGCUGCACUGAUCUUACGCCCAUGGCGAUGCUACUUGGAGGAAAGGGCGAAAAGGGACGAUUGUCAUUUUUUUCCAUUUUCCUGGACGGGGAACAUCAAACCUGCUGCCUCUGUCUGGACAGCUACUCAUAUAAAAUAUCGCAGUAGUUACCUGCAUGCCUCGCUUUAUCCCCGGGGACCAUGACUUUAUUUAGAGGAAAAAGAGAUUUUGGUAUUUCUGCAAUUAUUGCUGGCAUUAUUGCUACGACAGCAGUCGCUGCCUCGGUUACUGCCUCGGCAUUGGCCUUGUCAAAUUCAGUACAGACAACCCAAACUAUCAAUGAUUUAUCGGCCACCGUCUCUGUGGCUCGGGACAGACAGGCCUCGGCCAAUACUCAGAUAUAGGGAGGCCUUAUGCUUGUCAACCAACGUAUAGAUCUGGUCCAAGAGCAAUUAGACAUUCUAUGGCAACUGGCCCAGCUUGGCUGUGAGCAAAAACUCCCAGGCCUUUGUGUCACCUCCAUAUAAUAUGACAAAUUUACCCGAGCUGCUAAUCUGUCUAAGAGUCUUUCACAGCAUCUGUUACAGAACUGGACCUCGGAGUUUGAACAGACACUUCGGGAGCUGAGAGCAACCAUCAUUCAAGUAAAUUCUACCCGACUAGACCUGUCUUUGACGGAGGAAUUGUCGUCCUGGAUCACCUCAGCAGUCUCUUAUUUCAAGGAAUGGGUGGGAGUGGGACUUUUUGGAGUGAUCCUCUGCUGUGGAUUAGUGUUACUCCUCUGGUUGCUUUGCAAAUUGAGAUCUCAAACAAGAAAGGACAAAGUAGUGAUCACCCAGGCGCUUGUAGCCCUUGAACAAGAAGCGUCAGCCGAUAUCUGGUUGACCAUGCUCAAGCAACAGGUCACCGGCUGGACAGCUCUUGCACUCCUAGAACCUCGGUUCAUUGCACAGGAUUAGAGUGUCCGGCUUGAGCAGCCCAUGAGGGGUGACGAGCUUAGCAUCGCACAGGGAAGUUUUACCAAAUACGCUCCCUGGAAGGCAUGUCAUAUUGCAUGAGGGUUUCUGCCCCAGUUUUCCCUCCCUCGAAAAAUGGCAGUUUGAUGGGUCGGGAGUGCCGUGGGUCCCAACAACAGCCUAAGGGUAUCUCUCUUGUACAGGUUCGCCAACUUUGUACGAGGAUAUGACCUCUGUCUUCGCCCUCCUAUAUCUGGGUGUCCUGUUUGCUUAAAAAACAGAAAAGGGGGAGAUGUGAGGAGCUGUCCUCACAUACUCCAUUACAAGAUGGCACCUGCAUCCGGCAGAACGCACCUAGUAAAAAGGGCAAUACGCAGGCGCCUGGUAACUUCCCUACUCAAAGGGACACGUACGCUUUGGUACGUCAUCUGGCAUAAUUGGCAGCGACCAGUCAGAGAGUGACACGUCCUAGGCGAGGAUAGUUUCCUAUAUAAGGGACGGUUAUUCCUCACUCGGCGUCUCCGCAUUGUAAGCUUAUGCUCUCCCUCUCAAGACACAUUAAAGCUUUUCUGCA
Non-coding RNA from Rattus norvegicus (Norway rat), 2196 nucleotides. The record is from RefSeq and is a predicted model, not a curated record. NCBI's taxonomy places the organism in Eukaryota, Metazoa, Chordata, Mammalia, Rodentia, Muridae.